Molecule: ribosomal RNA, 483 nt
Filed under: uncultured bacterium
Lineage: Bacteria
Description: partial 16S ribosomal RNA
Rfam family: Bacterial small subunit ribosomal RNA
Source: RNAcentral
GAUGAACGCUAGCGGCAGGCCUAAUACAUGCAAGCCGAACGGCAAGUUUGAUAGCAAUAUUGGACCUAGAGUGGCGCAAGGGUGCGUAACACGUAUGCAACCUGCCCGCGACAGGAGGAUAGCUCCCCGAAAGGGGAAUUAACCCUCCAUAACACCAUGAGAAGGCAUCUGAUUAUGGUUAAACCGCAAGGGGUCGCGGAUGGGCAUGCGGUUGAUUAGCUAGUUGGCGGGGUAAAGGCCCACCAAGGCGGUGAUCAAUAGGGGUUCUGAGAGGAAGGUCCCCGACACUGGCACUGAGAUACGGGCCAGACGCCUACGGGAGGCAGCAGUAGGGAAUAUUGGACAAUGGUUGCAAGACUGAUCCAGCCAUGCCGCGUGCAGGAAGAAGGCCUCCUGGGGCCUAAACUGCUUUUUCCUGUGGAUAAAAUACCCGUGCGCGGGGAAUUGAAGGUAACAGGGGAAUAAACCACGGCUAACUACGUG